AUUGAACGCUGGCGGCAGGCCUAACACAUGCAAGUCGAACGGUAACAGGAAGCAGCUUGCUGCUUUGCUGACGAGUGGCGGACGGGUGAGUAAUGUCUGGGAAACUGCCCGAUGGAGGGGGAUAACUACUGGAAACGGUAGCUAAUACCGCAUAACGUCGCAAGACCAAAGAGGGGGACCUUAGGGCCUCUUGCCAUCGGAUGUGCCCAGAUGGGAUUAGCUAGUAGGUGGGGUAACGGCUCACCUAGGCGACGAUCCCUAGCUGAUCUGAGAGGAUGACCAGCCACACUGGAACGGAGACACGGUCCAGACUCCUACGGGAGGCAGCAGUGGGGAAUAUUGCACAAUGGGCGCAAGCCUGAUGCAGCCAUGCCGCGUGUAUGAAGAAGGCCUUCGGGUUGUAAAGUACUUUCAGCGGGGAGGAAGGGAGUAAAGUUAAUACCUUUACUCAUUGACGUUACCCGCAGAAGAAGCACCGGCUAACUCCGUG
Molecule: ribosomal RNA, 490 nt
Filed under: uncultured bacterium
Lineage: Bacteria
Description: partial 16S ribosomal RNA
Rfam family: Bacterial small subunit ribosomal RNA
Source: RNAcentral